RNAcentral lists this ribosomal RNA (851 nucleotides) under Limosilactobacillus fermentum. RNAcentral's name for it is "bacterial SSU rRNA". It matches the Rfam family "Bacterial small subunit ribosomal RNA", at positions 38 to 873 of the family's 1533-position model. The record is from RNAcentral. Lineage: Bacteria; Bacillati; Bacillota; Bacilli; Lactobacillales; Lactobacillaceae.
CGCGUUGGCCCAAUUGAUUGAUGGUGCUUGCACCUGAUUGAUUUUGGUCGCCAACGAGUGGCGGACGGGUGAGUAACACGUAGGUAACCUGCCCAGAAGCGGGGGACAACAUUUGGAAACAGAUGCUAAUACCGCAUAACAGCGUUGUUCGCAUGAACAACGCUUAAAAGAUGGCUUCUCGCUAUCACUUCUGGAUGGACCUGCGGUGCAUUAGCUUGUUGGUGGGGUAACGGCCUACCAAGGCGAUGAUGCAUAGCCGAGUUGAGAGACUGAUCGGCCACAAUGGGACUGAGACACGGCCCAUACUCCUACGGGAGGCAGCAGUAGGGAAUCUUCCACAAUGGGCGCAAGCCUGAUGGAGCAACACCGCGUGAGUGAAGAAGGGUUUCGGCUCGUAAAGCUCUGUUGUUAAAGAAGAACACGUAUGAGAGUAACUGUUCAUACGUUGACGGUAUUUAACCAGAAAGUCACGGCUAACUACGUGCCAGCAGCCGCGGUAAUACGUAGGUGGCAAGCGUUAUCCGGAUUUAUUGGGCGUAAAGAGAGUGCAGGCGGUUUUCUAAGUCUGAUGUGAAAGCCUUCGGCUUAACCGGAGAAGUGCAUCGGAAACUGGAUAACUUGAGUGCAGAAGAGGGUAGUGGAACUCCAUGUGUAGCGGUGGAAUGCGUAGAUAUAUGGAAGAACACCAGUGGCGAAGGCGGCUACCUGGUCUGCAACUGACGCUGAGACUCGAAAGCAUGGGUAGCGAACAGGAUUAGAUACCCUGGUAGUCCAUGCCGUAAACGAUGAGUGCUAGGUGUUGGAGGGUUUCCGCCCUUCAGUGCCGGAGCUAACGCAUUAAGCACUCGCUG